GGAAAAAUUAUAUCAACCUAGUUCACAAAGAAUGUGAAUUAUUAUACCAUUUAAGUUGUUACCCCCUAGAGCUAAAAUCUGAAGAAACUUUAAAUUGCCAAUUUCUCUUGGUAUCUUCCCACUAAAGGAGUUGUGAGACAGUCCGACAGUUUGAAGUUGUUAACAUUCGGAUAUAUUCGAUGGAAUUUCGCCACUCAGCUGAUUACGAGAUAGGUAAAUUUGUUGAACAAGUGGAAGUUUACUGCAAAAGUCACUUGGAAGGCUGCCACUCAAUUCAUUUCCUGUGAAAACCUCUGUUACACAGACACGGCAAACACAUGAAGUUUCCCCGUGUCGGAAACGUUUCGGACACGAAACGCGAAGACACCUUUAAGAAACGCUGUUGGGCCGUGUCUGUAAUAUUUGAAAAGUUGGACACGCGUGUCAAGGGAAAAAAAAAAGAAUUUUCUUUUUUACAAAUCUGAUUAUUUGGGUUUUUGUGAAACUGGAGGAAUAAAUUGGCAGCUCUCUCUCAUUAAUCCGAUAAUUAAUUGCAAAUUUAUUUGAAUAAACGAUUAAACGUAUUAAAUAUUCAUGUAUAUUUUAAUAUUGUACAUAAAAAAUAAAACAUAAUUUAGUAAUAAUUUAUAAAUAAACCCCUAUAUUUUUAAUAUUUACACGUAUCCCCCACGUUCCCGUGUCCUACUUUUUUUGAUUAAGUGUAUCCCGGUGUCCGUAUCCGUGUGUCGCCGUGUCCCCGUUCCCGUGUCUAUGUAACAUAGGUGAAAACUAUAGACUCCAGGGUUGAUAUGUUGAAUAGGGAUGAUGGUUUUUGACCGGAGAGACGAUUGUAAGCAAAACUAAGAAGCCGUAGAUUUGUCAGGUUAGAGAGGGAAGUGGGAAUGGAACCGGUAAAACUGUUAUUCCGUAGAGAUGGAUGCUCGAGUUUAGUUAAAAGACCCAACCACAGUGGAAUCUCUCCACUCAAGUUGUUUACUUUGAAAGAAAUAAACUUCAAUUUGUGCAGUAAAGACAACUGUAGAGGCAGAACACCACCGAAAAAGUUGAAACUAUAAUCGAGUGAAACGAGGAAGGAAAGGUUUCCUAGUUGUGGUGGAAUUGUGCCUGAAAGACCCAUGUAAGAAAUAUUUAACGCCUCUACUCGAUUAUGGUGCAAACCGCAAGUGACGCCAAUCCAGCUGCAGACAGAGCUCGAAUUUGUCCAACUUUUGGCAAGUGUGUUUUCAGGUUCCAAAAGUAUAUGAGAUUUCAGGGAAAGAAGGGCAGAUUAAUUGUUUGAUAAAAAUGUAUGACUAAAGAAUCAUGGAAGAAGGAUGUUGGGUAUCCGCCCGGAGAAACAAUCGGAAAUAAAACAGCCAUUAUAUUCACUAAAUUAAUAUGCAAAACAAUUAUGGGAAUAGGGGUACGGAAUACAAUCACACAGAAUAUUAACUACUGUUAAUAUUAUUUAACCUUAACAACAAAAACCAAGCAUAACAAUUAUAAUGACUUUAUCAAAUCAGGAUAAUUGCAAAAAAGGUAAGAAACAAAUAAAUAAUAUAAAACUAAAGAAAUAAAGGGGGAAAAACAAAACCACGGCGAAUCACACAGAUUCGUGGGAGGAUGAAUCUCUGCCGACGAUUGAGGUUUCCGGCUCAGUCUCAAUUCCCAUCCGUCCUCGUCCAAGACUCACCAGCCGCAGCCACGCACCCACCGGAACAAGCCCAAUAGCCCAAAUCCCUCUCAGAUUUCUAACCGGAAAAACCCGAAAAAAAACCCAAACACACAAAGGACCAAGAGUUCGAAUAAAUCAAACACACACAGCACUCAACCCAACACCCAAACACUCACAAAGAGUUGAGACUCACAAAGAGUCGAAUCAGUCACGAAGAAAAGAUUUACGAACAAGGUGUAACGUAGGUUGAAUUUUCUUGGUCUCUCUUGGUCACUGUUCUCUCACGAAGAAGAGGUCUAUUUAAUAGCCCCCAAGAACCGACUUCAACGGAAGCCGAGGGAUCGGGAUACUGGUGUCACAGAUUUCCGGCGGAGAAAUCGGACCAGAAAAGAGGACAAAAAAGCAGAGGGGCGAGAUCAGUUUUUCGGUGGAGAAAAUUAAUCGUUUGUUCACGUUUUGACCUCUUACUUGGGUCAAGACCUAUUUUCUCCACGUGGGCUUUUUCAAGUAUGGGCUUGCUCCAAGAUGGGCUGGUUACAUGCUGGUAUUGGGCCACAGAUGAAGAAAAAAUCAUUUGGGCCAAAAAAUCCCAAUAAAGGAAAAGAACUUUGUAUGAAUUACAUCUUAUCUUAUUAUUUAUUCUGCAGACAAGACAAUUACUUACCUGGCCGGCCGAGUUGUGGGGACUUGUUCGUAGACUUGAAUUUUAAAGUCAGUCUAAUUUGUGGAAAUUAUAUAGUGAUGUAUGCUUUUUGGCGUGGCAAAUAAACUACAAUAGUUGGAGAAAUUACAAUUUAACCCCAGAUUUAUGGUUUCUGUAAUUACAAAUUUGGACUCCUAGUUUUGUUUAUUGCUGAAUCAAGCGGGGUUAAUUUGAAAUAAUUUAAAAUCAGAUUUAGUUCCCACAAUGAUUCUGAAUACUGCAUUUCAGUCCCCAAUUUUAAAGUUUCUCUCAAAACUGUGAUAUACAUUCAGAAAAUUCCCUUUUAACCCCCAAAUUAAGUAUUUCUGAAUCUCAGGUCCGUUUUCAAUCAAAGACUUUUCUUUCAGAAAUUUCGAUCUAGUCCAUCAUGUUUUAAGAUUUUUUUUGGAUUUGGGUGCAGUGGUCUAUUUCUUCAAAGAACGAAGACUUGACUUUUUAAGCUUUUUGUAAAGAUUUUGUGGCAUUUAAAGUUUCAAUUGUUUUGAUGGACCCAACUGAAUUAUUUUUAGUUCACUUUAAAGUUUGUUUGAUUAAUAAAGUGAAAUUCAAUUUGGAUUUCCAAUUUGUUAUCUAGAAACCAUCAUCAUAUCGCAUUACAAAAACUUAUUCAAAUUGAAAUAUAUACUACCAAACAAACAAGUGCUUAACAUGCAUCCAGAAUUAUUCUUCCCUUCAUUAUUACACAGUUUAUUGUAGAUAAAUCCUUAAUUAACAUUGUAGAAGCUGUAUCAGGACAUAAUUAACAGCAUCAGUGGUACUUGGGGUUUCAGAUCGAACCUCGGCGGAAAUAUCGAACUUUGAUCUUCUGCAGCUCCGUUAGAGCUUCUUUCAUGUUUAUUCUAUCACCAGAAGAUUCCGCACAACACUUCAAAGCCAACUCCAGUAUUGAUGACGCGCAUUGCACGUUUUUCUCAAAGGCUUGUUCGUUUUCCGUAUUCAAUAUAUUGGCAUCUAUUACCUCACUUGAUGACUCGUUAUUAACUGAGCUUUGAACCCAACUCUUUAAAGUUAAAUCUCCGCCGAACAUUUCAUCGCUUGGCCUUUUUCUAGUAAAAGUUUCCAUCACCAUCACUCCAUAGCUAUAAACAUCACACCUUGUAGAAACUAGCCCUUCCAAACCAUACUCUAUAAACAACAAUCGUAUAAUUCAAUAAAUCAAAAGUGAAAUCCAAUCGAUAAUAUAUAAAAUUAGUAUGAGUGAAAGUGAGAAUAUUAAUUAACCUGGUGCAAUGUAACCCAUUGUUGCUAGGGUGAUGGUGUGCAUAGUGCUCUCACCUUCGCCCAUCAAUUUUGCUAUCCCGAAAUCACUCACAUGAGCAACCAUGUCUUCAUCUAACAACACAUUAAUUGGCUUCAAAUCGCAAUGAACAAUUCGUGUCGAAUAGCCAUGAUGGAGAUAUUCCAAGGCACAUGCAACAUCAAUCAUUAAAUUCAAUCUUUGCAAUAUAUCCAAGCAGUAGUUGUGGGAAUAUAGCCAUUGGUCGAGGUUUCCAUUCGGCAUGUAUUCAAGUACCAAUGCAUUGAAAUCCUCGUUUGAGCAACUGCUAAUGACUUUGAUGAGAUUUCUGUGACGGACGUUGCGUAGUAUCUCACAUUCGACAUCAAAGCUCUUCGAAGCAGUUUCCGAAAGUGAAUUGAACACCUUCACAGCUAAAAAUUUCCCAUCUUUUAGAACACCUUUGUAAACAGAACCGAACCCCCCACGGCCUAGUAAAUUCGUCUCGCUGAAGUGUUCGGUUGAUCGUAGGAGUUCAUAAUAGGAAAUUCUUUCUGGUACAGUAGACAAUAGCCCGUCAUUUCCAUUGGCUGCUUUAUCUUUUCUUCUAUAUCUAAUCAAGAUGACGAAUGCCAAAGAGACGAGCGAGAUGAAUGCAACAAUCCCGGAAAUAAUAAAUAAAGCAAAAUGUGCAAUUUUCAUCCUUGGCCCGUGAUUGGAAGCAUUACGACAAAGAGGUACAUUGAACCUUGGAACACCACACAAUGCCUCAUUGCCCUUAAAAGACUCCAUAGUGAGGUUUGUGAAAGGACCACCGUUGGGAAUUUCACCUCUCAAACCAUUGAAAGAGACAUUAAAGUAGACGAGAUAUUUAAGUGUCUCCAACGACUUUGGGAUCGAACCAGAGAGGUUAUUGUUAGACAAGUCUACAACUUCUAAACUUAUCAUGCUCCCCAUUGACUCGGGAAUAGAACCUUCCAAUCGAUUAUGUGCCAAAUACAAGUUCGUCAAAGAUAUUAAAUUUCCGACUGUGCUUGGAAUAGACUCUGACAACUGGUUCAUUGAUAGAUUGAUCCGGGUUGCUGACACUAAAUUACCUAUUUCUAGAGGUAUAAUUCCACUCAAAAAAUUUGAGGACAAGUCUAGGUGCAACAAAUCUGUGAGGCGCCACAUGCUUGAUGGGAUGCUUAAAUUUAACAUGUUGGAAUCUAGAUAGAGAUAUCUUAAAGAUGUGAUAUUUUCUAAACACUCCGGUAUUUGGCCGGAAAAUUUGUUACGGCUUAAAAAUAAACUAUCCAAGUUGUGUAAAUCACAAAGACCCUCUGGAAUGGAACCUCUCAUAUUGCUGUUACUUAAAUAUAAUCCUUGAAGCUUAUGCAAAUGGUUGACAGUAGGUGGAAUAUUACCGAACAACUCGUUCCCGUUUAAAGAAAAUUUCACUAGGUUGCUUAAAUUGCCGAUUUCUGGAGGGAUAAUACCCUUAAUUUGACAAUUGAAGGCCAUUAUUUCUUGCAAGGAGAUUGAUAAAUUCCCAAUGGAAGCCGGAAUGAUGCCAUCUAGAGGAUUAUUAGCAAUUCUGAGUGUAAUUAAUGAUCUGCAAUUUGCCAAGGAAGUUAUGAAGCUCAACUCUGAAGAAGUUGAUUCGGUUCUUAGAUUGUUGUUAUACAUGGAUAGAAAUUCAAGCAUUCUUAGGUUACCGAGAAAAUGAGGUACAAAACCAGUGAAGUUGUUAUCACCGAGUUCAAGAAUUCUGAGUUUGGAACAGUUAGUGAUCGAAUCAGGUAUUGAUCCACUGAGGUCAUUUUCUGCGAGGUAAAGUUCUUCAAGAGAGGGUAACCCGUGAUCCAAAUUAGUUGGAAGACUGCCUGACAGACUAUUAGCUAAAAGAUCAAGAAUUCGAAGAUUUGACAUGUUAAAGAGUUCCAAUGGGAUAAAACCAGUGAAGCUGUUAGUGUUUAAUUUUAAUGUAUUCAAUUGGUAAAUUUUCCCAAUUUCACGCGGUAAAACACCUGUCAAGAUUUAAAAAAAAAAAUUAAACAUUUGCCUAUUAAUAUCGAAAGUCAUCCGUUAUAAUUUUCUCGGUCGCACCUGUUAACUUGUUCUCUGUGAGUCCCAAGCGUUUGAGCUUUGUAAGAUUCCCGAUUUCUUUUGGGAGGUUUCCAGACAGUUGAUUGCGAUGUAGUCGUAAAAGUUGGAGAGAAGAAAUAUUGAAGAUACUGAGUGGAAUUGUGCCACUAAUUUGGUUUAGUUCAAUGGCUAAUUCAUCCAGGUUAUGAAGAUUGCCAAUCUCGGACGGGAUAACACCUAUAUAUGGAACACACAAAUCAACUGUUAAAAUCAUAAUGCUAGUUGAAAGAGAAUGUGAAGUAUUUUAUACCAUUUAAGUUGUUGCGCCCGAGAUGUAAAAUGCGAAGAAAUUUUAACUUGCCAAUUGCUUUUGGUAUCUGCCCACUAAAUGAGUUGUAAGACAGUGAUAUAUAUCGAAGUUGCGAACAUUCUGACAGACUUGACGGGAUUUCGCCACUCAAUUUAUUACGAGAUAGGUAAAUUCCUUGAACAAGUGGAAGUUUACUGCAAAAGUCACUUGGAAGGCUACCACUCAACUCAUUUCCUUUGAAAGAUAUACCCUCC
This 6204-nucleotide long non-coding RNA is filed under the name Erythranthe guttata (spotted monkey flower). RNAcentral's name for it is "long non-coding RNA (EGUT_LNC000376)". The record is from RNAcentral. Lineage: Eukaryota; Viridiplantae; Streptophyta; Magnoliopsida; Lamiales; Phrymaceae.